UGCAGCGCUUUUUGUUUUGUUUUGUUUUGUUUUUAAAACAUCAGAAGAGGAUAAAUGAAGAUAAGUGGCUGACUCAGGCAUUCUGAAAUUUGUGCUGAAGCUUUCUGUUGUAGCCCGUCAUUACUCUGUGGACUUGUGAAGCAAGAAAAUAUGGAAGUAUUAAGUGAAGAUGCCAUUGAAACAAACUGUUCAGUUAUAAGGGCUGAAAAAAACAGCUUGUUUUUAUUGGCCCUUACACAUUUUUAUUUUGCUGCUCACUUCUCGUUAUACAUGGCAUAGCUCUCCAGAGAGCGAAAACAGACAUAUGGAGAGCCUACCGACCUGUGCCUAGUACUUAGACUUUGCACAUGCAUUACUAUGCUACAUGGAUUUAUUAUACACUAAUAAAUAAUAUAGUAUCUUAUGUUCAUAUAGCACCUUUCUAUUCCCAAAGAUUCCAAAGCACUUUGAAAACAGCAGGACUUAAUUGUCUUCUCACUUUGCUUUUAUGCACCUUUGACAUCAGGGGGAUUACUCUUGAUUUACACUAAAAAUAUACAAGAACUACUAUCUUCCCUCUGGAGCACAGCUAAGAGGAACCAUGGCAAUUAUGAAAGAUCACUUUGAAACACAAGAAGCCAUUUAUGACAGAGAACAAAAAUGAACUUUUUUGGCUUAACAGACAACAGAAUGCUGCAGAAAAGCAGAAUACCACAAGCCACAGCCGCAAUUUGGUUGGGAGUCCAUGGAUCAGGAACACCUCUUAGAGUCUGAAGUGGCCAACCUUGGUUUAACAUUUCACAGGAAAGAGGGCACUUUUGUAACAGUGCUGGAAUAUCAGUUUGGUGCUUACAGUUGUUCACAGCCAACUUGUAUUCACAGGAAUUUCACGGAAAUUGUCCCUCCCCUGUGGGUAAUGCCUACAUGAGGGGUAGACUUGGCAUGCAUAUAGUUCAUUUCUAGCAAGAGAUAAGUCCCUGUAAAACGGUCUUUGAAAACAAUAUUCUAAUUUUUCCUUGAUUUGUGAAGGAUGUAUGAUCUAAAAUGUAUAGUAGUGAGAGCGGUGUCCUGUAAAGAGUACGGUACAUGGUACAGUACUGAGAUCAGUGUCCCCAGUUGGACUCUACUGACGAGUGAACAUUUUUGAUCAAAACAUUAAAAAAAAAAAGCAGAUUUUUAUUUUCACAAAAGCCAAUGCUUCAAAAGUCCGAACUAUUCAGUCCAUGCAGAAUUAUUCAUUAGAGAAAAAAUCAGAAUAUUCUGAUGUUUUAAAAUGCUUUACUGUUUUGAAAUUUUCUUUAAAGUAAUUUUGGGGGAGUUUUCACUUAAUAUUUUAAAUGGCGCAGUGAAAACAGCAUUCAACCAAAACAGGAAAAAAAAUUCUAAUUGCACCUUCAUUUUUUUGGUUUUUUCAGGCCACUUAAGAAUCAAACACUUUCACUUUGAUUAGAAACAUUUUUAUUUUUUAAUUCCUUAUGAGCUAAAAAAAAUCCAUAAUUGCCUAUCUUUAAUGAUGAAAUAUUAUUUUUGUUAUUCUGUUUUGAUGUUUGACUGCCAGAGCGAGGAGGAACUAAUUUCUUUCUCUUUCUACCAGCUCAGCUUUGGCCAAGGCACAAACGGAACGGAGAACUGGUUGUAGCCAAGGGGUCUGUGGACAAAGGCCACCGCUUCAGUGCUUUGCAGCUGGGGCUCUGCCCUCUGCAUCCUGGGUACUUACAUCUGGGAUAAGAAAAGAGUGAGAAUGAGAUGGAAGGUUCAGGGUCUACGGUUGGCUUCUGAAUUGUGUUUCCCAUCGCCUCAGUCCUGCUGUGCAGCUUUCAGGGUUUUGGUUUUGUUUCCUGAACAUGGAAACACAGGCAGAGUGACACCAAUGUUUAAAAAUGGAUAGAGCUGCUAAGGGCAAAUGGGGUAACAGCGUUCCUGUGGGAUGGUCCUGCAUUUCCCAGCUUGUGCAGUUCGGGGUUUGAGCGAUAUUUGUCCCUGAGAGUCUCAUUCAAUCAUAAGCUUAGUUUAGUACAAGUGCGAGCUCGAGAAAACCUAUUAUUCUGCUAUUAAUAAAGGGCAUAGAUGUUUUCACAGGGCUGCCAUGGUUGGACCUGCCGUCUCCCCCGCCGAGGGCUGGUAGCAAUUACUGGGUGAGGGAACGUGUUCAGCGGGGCUGCGCUGACCGCGGCGCGGGACUCCUUGUGUCCCUGGGCACAGGGAGCCCUCGUUUCAGCUAAGGCCACAUCUGUGUUUUGGGCAAUGCUGGUGUCUUGCCCCAUAUCAAAAGAUGACCUGAGGCCAGCCGCUCUCGGGUGCAAGAUGGAAGUAGUGCUUCAAGAGAGAAAUAAAGCAAGGACGAGGAAGCAGCAAUAAACCAGGCCUGUUGUGCAAGCAAGCAGUUGCCUUCCCAGGGGAAUCUCCCAGGCCUCCUGACGUGCGAGGUGCUUCCCAUCGGUCACUGCUACCUGGGCUGCUACUGCAAUAAAAGUGCCCUCGCGAUGGCUGGAUGGGAAGGCCAGGAGCUCCUGGCUGGGAUUUCCAAGGAGAAGACUUUAUUCUGGGCAUUAAGGAUUGCUUCUCACUGCCAGCUUUCCAAACGGCUCAAGAACUUGAAAAGUGAUGAUUCUUCACAAGGAAAGGGAUGCUCUUCUCAACUGAAUAAUUCUUGAACCUAUGGAGCUGCACAUUUUAUGUCACAUGUGUGCACAAUAUUCAGAGGAGUGACCUGGAACAGGAAAGAAAUCUGUCUGCCAGAGCCUCCGUGAGAGACGGCUCCAAACCCCAGGUCAGCGCUGGUCGGGCAUCUUCUUCAAGCUGGUUCUCUGAUGCUGUGAGAGCAGGACGAUGUGCAGGCCCUUUACUGCCAAGAGGACACGGCUGAAAGAAGUGGGAGUCUGGAACAUGGUGCUCAUGGUAAUAUGGACUAAUAAGUGCAGCAGGCAGCCUGGAAUUUGGCCUGUUAACUUCAUAGUUUUACGCAAUGGAGCUGGAGCUAAAGAUUGGUGAAGUUUGUGCAUAGGGAGCAGAGCAAAGCAUAAACUCAACAAGGCGUAUUCUACCCGUGCUCUCUACGGCAAGAAAAUGUACUUGCGUGGGUUCGUGUGAGGCUAGUCUUCCUCAAGUCUCCUUGUUCGCAGUGCUUGGUAAGGAGGACUGGACCCGCUCUGUUGCAACGACGGAUGUACCCAGCCUGAAAACCAGUGCUUCUCUUGCACACUCCCAGCAGGUUGCAUUGGAGGAAUUGCAUUAAGGGCUGGCUAAAUUUGGGGCCGAAGGAAAUCUUCUUGGCUGUGCUCCACUGCCCUGCGUCAGGGACAAAUCCCCCUUGCACCAGACCUCCCCCUUGCUCCAUCCGAUGUCCCACGGAGGGCACAGGACACCCGGGGCCAGCAGCUGGGACAGCGUGAGGAGGAGGAAGGAAGCUUCGCCCAGGAUGCAAUUGUCACUGCAGUUGGAAGCCAAUCAACGCGUUGUGAGUGGGAGCCCGCUGGUACUUUCCAAUGGUCCUUGAUUAAAAAGGAAGCUCUUGGCUAUCUUCAAGCAGCAGGAGAGGAAACAGCACAGAUGAAGCAGAGAGGCUAUGAUUGAGAUGUCACACCGUGGCUGGGACACUACAAGACCCAUUAGACCUCUGUGGCAGCUCCUCUCAGAAUGGUGGCAAGGAGUGAAUGCUGUACAGAUGACUGUGGAGUGGAAGCAGCGUGCAUAAACAAACAAGGAGAUGGGAGGCAUUUUUCUCCUUAAUGUCGUCUUGAGUCAUUCUGGAGCUGCCUAUUUAUCGCCAGUCUGUAACCAUUAUCUCUCCAUGGACCAUGACUUUCAUUUCCUGUAAGAUCUGAAUUACUCAGUCUGGGAUCGAGCUGAAAGUAUUUAAAGGCAGAAGCAUAAUGACUGUUUCACUUGGAAGAAGCAAUGGCUCUGUGUAGUGUAUCCCGUCUAACCUUCUUCUGAGCUCCAGCAAUGGUCUGAUGGGCUGCUCGGUGCUCCAGGCUGGUUCCCACACCUCUGCAGUCAGCCCUCGCUCUGCCAUCAUCAGCAUGCGUUCAGAAGAGCCAUUCCAGCCUAUGGAAUAACUGAGACAUUCAUAAACUCUGCCCUGAGACCUGAAAAGAUACCCAGGCCAGAACGCGAUCUACAGAGCCACUGAGCUGCAAUCUGCUGGCCUCACUAAGGAGAGCACACAGGUAUUCAGCAGUCUCAGCUUUCUGUGACAAGAUGUCGUCAAGGCAGACAUACAGCAUGAGAAGCUUUAACCAACCGCAAGGCCUCUUCAGUCUCUAAGCUCUGGACUUUUCAGACAGCUGGAAAGAUGAGGAGGAAGCCCAUCUUCACCAGGUUCAGUGGAGACUAACAGUGCUGAAGGAUGCUAUCAGGGAAAAUCAGCUCCUGUUCAAACACAAGACACCAUGAGAAGUCCCUGCUUUCUCAAGUGACUGCACAAGGUGGAAGUAGGCAGGACACUUCAUCUCUGUCUUCUGCCAUUGCAUCUCCUGGGAAGGCAUCUUGCUGAGGCCCUGCAGGGCAAGUUCCACCUUUCCUCAGGAGCUGCUGUGCCGUCUGCUUGCUGCGUAUCUUCAGGCUGAAAUGGAGGAACAUCCAUAGAGAUGAUUCUUUCUGUUGUUGUGGUGGCAAGAGUAAUGACAAUGCACAGGUCGUUUGGUUCUCUGCCCACAUUACAGGUGGAAUAUGAACUAAUAACCGGUGAGGCUGAUACAAGUUACAGCCCUGGAGCAGUGAUCUGGUUCACGCACCUUUGGAUAAAUUAGGCCCUGUCUACACUGAUGUUAAAGCUCCAGAAGAUGCUAAACCAAUGAAGUUAUUUCAAGCCCUUCCUGUUGAGUCACUGCUCUGCACGAGACUAUUUCUUGCCCUCCUGCAGCUAACCUCUUACUCACCUCCUAUACUUGGCUUUAAAGGAGCAGGCUGUAAAGUUGAGUGGAAAGAGCUCUCCAUCUGCCCUAGGUCACCAUGCCCCUGAUGGCCUGAAUUUUGCUCGAUUCUUGUAAAAAUAACAGAUGAUGUAUCCUUGCUACAAAAGCCAAGCUCGCGUUAAAUUUCAGUGCUCAGUUCCAAGGUACCAGAAAUGUUUUACCUAGAUAAAAUACAUAUAUAUUUGUCCAGAAAUACUCAGAUAAGCAAUAGAGCUUUCAGCCUAUAGCCUGGUAUAGUUCUGGGUCACUGAAAAGAACUGUAGAAGUAUAAGCAUGAGGCAAUUAUAAUAAUAAACAGAGCUAUUCCAAAAGUCAGCAUGUGUGCUUCAGUAAAUGUACUGAAUUCUUAAUUAUUAAAACCAGAAAUGAGCUAGGUAUGUAUGCAUAUUACGUAACUAUGUAGCCACAUUAUUACAUAUAAACCCACUUUCUUAACUGCCAUAUACAGUAGUUGCAUCCUAAAAUUUUGUGGGUGGUUUGAAACAAAAUACUGAAGAUUAAUACAGUUUUGAACUACCUAAUUACUUUCUGUGUAACUUAGUUUAGCUUUAUGCAGCUGCAAUAAAUGUGUAUCUUGAUGAUAUGGUUAAUAUUACAUUAAAUUGUACCAUUCUCCACUGUGCUGAAAUAUAUUCUAGCAUUUUUCCAGAAUGUAAGAUGACAGAGAUAAAUUACAAAACUAUUAAAUGUCAAUUAACGUCUUUGCAAACUGAAUCUGAAAUGAACCUGUUAAAACUACCUUGUUAUAUGUCACUUAUAUGUAUAAAUGCUGGUUAAAUGUUUAAUGAACGCA
Dromaius novaehollandiae (emu) is the source of this 5688-nucleotide long non-coding RNA. RefSeq lists it as uncharacterized. The record is from RefSeq and is a predicted model, not a curated record. The transcript has 21 exons. Lineage: Eukaryota; Metazoa; Chordata; Aves; Casuariiformes; Dromaiidae.